Small nuclear RNA from Solanum stenotomum, 102 nucleotides. The record is from RefSeq and is a predicted model, not a curated record. Lineage: Eukaryota; Viridiplantae; Streptophyta; Magnoliopsida; Solanales; Solanaceae.
GUCCCUUCGAGGACUUUCGAUAAAAUUGGAAUGAUACAAAGAAGAUUAGCAUGAUUCUUGUGCGAGGACGGCAAGAACAAAUGGGUAAGCACAUCUACUCUU